GCCCUGAUUCCACCUAUGGGAGCUGGACUCCCACAGCCCCACCAAGAGUGGAGGGAAAAUCCCACUCAAAAAAAAGGGGAGAGGAGUUAAAAAGGAAAGCGAUGGAUUACGUCAGCAAUGAUUGGAAAACAAAUAGCGUCAAAGAUGCAGAGAACCCUGUCUCAGCAAGGAUUGGGGUUCUCAUUAAGAACCCCAGCUUUCAAGGA
RNAcentral lists this long non-coding RNA (206 nucleotides) under Elaeis guineensis (African oil palm). Its description in RNAcentral is "long non-coding RNA (EGUI_LNC082792)". The record is from RNAcentral. Lineage: Eukaryota; Viridiplantae; Streptophyta; Magnoliopsida; Arecales; Arecaceae.